GUGCAAAUCACUGCAGUGGAAUGAUGCAGUGGGGCAUAAGGACAAUGAAUCAGAUCAGGGCAUAAAGAAACUUGAUCACUCAGUAAAGCUGUUCUGACCCCAGCCAAAACAAGAAUGAAAAGAAAUCUAAGCUCAUCGAUAAAUCAACGUGUGCAAGUCAUUGGCAACUAUAGACUCUUUGAUUUUGUUCUACAAUGGCCAGCAGCGCUAUGCACAGAGUAAACAAUUGUUCCCAACUUCAGAAGCCUGCAGAGACAAAAAAUUGACAGGCUUUCGAAACUGCACUCUGUUGUCCAGAAACUGGCUUCUCCAUGAUGACCUACCAGUGACCUUUGUCAUGACAUUGAAGGACUACCCUCUCCAUGGGUAAGAAGUAAUUCAACUUCAAUAGUUCCCCUGCUCUAGACAUGUAUAAAACAGACAG
This 424-nucleotide long non-coding RNA is filed under the name Pan paniscus (pygmy chimpanzee). RNAcentral's name for it is "lncRNA (ENSPPAG00000044436.1)". The record is from RNAcentral. Lineage: Eukaryota; Metazoa; Chordata; Mammalia; Primates; Hominidae.